This 74-nucleotide transfer RNA is filed under the name Bacillus phage PK16. RNAcentral's name for it is "tRNA-Ser". It matches the Rfam family "tRNA". Rfam says of the family: Transfer RNA (tRNA) molecules are approximately 80 nucleotides in length. Their secondary structure includes four short double-helical elements and three loops (D, anti-codon, and T loops). Lineage: Duplodnaviria; Heunggongvirae; Uroviricota; Caudoviricetes; Herelleviridae. The record is from RNAcentral.
AUCCCUUUAGCCAAGCGGUUAAGGCAGUGGGACACUCUCCCACGAAUCGGGAGUUCGAUCCUCCCAAGGGGCGC